CACGGCGCUAAGGGCGGAGUCCGUGUAGACGUUCUACCUGGGGCUUGACCCCUGGGCCUGCAGGUCACGGAAAACAUACAGCCCUGAUUGCUGUUGGCAGACAUCUGCCGCUAUGGUAGAAAGCAGCCUGAGGACAAAAUUGUUAAGAGGAAAAAAGCAGAGCCCAGGCAGCCCCGGAGGAAUGAAGCUGGAACUCUGAUCAGUUAUCGGUUCUGGUGGUGGACAGACACCAGAGUGGGAUUCUAAGCUGGCGAGGCUUACCUGGUAUCUCAGGGUCCCGGUGCCCUCAGUCAACACAGGUUCCUGAAGACUCAGUGCCAGGUCCAGGACACUGUGCAAGCAAGAGCACAGCAGGCAGAGUUCUAUUCUGUCAUCCAGUCUGGAGCUCAGUGGCACCAUCAUGGAUCACUGCAGCCCCAGCCUCCUGAACUCAAGCAAUCCUCCUGUCUCAGCCUCCAGAGUAGCUGGAACUACAUGAGCAGGCUACCAUGUCUGGCUAAGUACCUCAAGUUUGUAAAAGAUAAUACAAUUUCAAGAUCCUCUAAAUGUAUUAUGCAAGGGAUAAAUUAAGC
This 572-nucleotide long non-coding RNA is filed under the name Pan troglodytes (chimpanzee). RNAcentral's name for it is "long non-coding RNA NONPTRT010671". The record is from RNAcentral. Lineage: Eukaryota; Metazoa; Chordata; Mammalia; Primates; Hominidae.